This 387-nucleotide ribosomal RNA is filed under the name uncultured bacterium. Its description in RNAcentral is "bacterial SSU rRNA". It matches the Rfam family "Bacterial small subunit ribosomal RNA", at positions 28 to 416 of the family's 1533-position model. The record is from RNAcentral.
GACGAACGCUGGCGGCGUGCUUAACACAUGCAAGUCGAGCGGUAAGGCCCUUUCGGGGGUACACGAGCGGCGAACGGGUGAGUAACACGUGGGUGACCUGCCUUUAGCUCUGGGAUAAGCCUGGGAAACCGGGUCUAAUACCGGAUAUGACUCCGCGGCGCAUGUUGUGGGGUGAAAGCCUUGUGCGGCUGGAGAUGGGCCCGCGGCCUAUCAGCUUGUUGGUGGGGUNAUGGCCUACCAAGGCGACGACGGGUAGCCGGCCUGAGAGGGCGACCGGCCACACUGGGACUGAGACACGGCCCAGGACUCCUACGGGAGGCAGCAGUGGGGAAUCUUGCGCAAUGGGCGAAAGCCUGACGCAGCGACGCCGCGUGAGGGAUGACGGCC